UAGUCUAAACUGUUCUAGAUCUAGUAAAAUCUAGUACCAUAAUUAGUAUUUUGUCUAAGUCAAAGAGUAUAGUAGUACAGUAGUACUAGUAGUUAGUAGUAGUACUACUAAGUACUAGUAGUAGGUAGUAGUAGUAGUAGUAAAAUCUACUCUAGUAAAUCUAGUAACUAUUGUUUCUAUUCUAGUUAACGAUGAUUUUACCUGUGUCUGUCGACUGCGAAAUUCUCAGCAGCAGCAACUCAAUAUUUGGUAUCAGGCUUUUCUGCCAGCAGUCUCUUCUUCCUCAAGAUGACAUUUCUGACGUGUUCCUUAGGAUGGUCAUGUUGGUUUUUGAUUAUGUCAUUAAGGAUGUGCUGUUGAGCGAAAAGACUACUACACAGUGGAAACUGGUUCAAGAACAGAUGACUAAUUAACAACAAUGAAAAGACAAAUCAGAAACAAGAGGAGAGGCAUUUACUACACAUGUGCAGUUUGUUUGGUUUUAUUUACAGUCAUUAUUUUAAGAUCCGCCAAACAGUCAAAGAUCUCAAAGUUGAGACUUAAAUCUCCAAUGGAUUCUUAUUUUUCAGUUGAUUGUGUCUAACACAAAUAAGGUAAAUUUAAAUUUAGCAACAACGCUAUCGUUAGGGACAGUUACAGAAAAAGAAUACUAGCCAUCAGUAGGACAGCCUUGGGCAGCAAUGACAUUAGACACAUGCAGUGCGUUUCUCUGAACCACAAUUUCUUCACUAAAAUACCCAGCAAAUGUAGUUAAUUCAUGAUGUAUUUCAGGUGAUAUACUUUCCAUAUUUCACAGGCAUAAAGCAAUAGUAAUCUAAUGUGGUGUAUAAAAUACAAACAUGCUCAAUGUGUGAAGCACCAUUAAAGAGUGGCAACACAGUUUUUCUGAUAUACUGGGAGAUGUGCAUUUGUACAAACUUUUUAAAGGGAUUUGAGUUUUUCUUUGAUCAUCAGAUAAAUAUUUGAUUUAUAAGCAAAUAGUCCUUUUUUCUGAGAAUUAAUUGCAUUUUUUUGUGUAGAGAUAGGGACACCUCAAACACCCAAUAGCUCUGUGGUGGUUGAGGGGGGGGGGUGCUAAGUGGUUUAGUGCGGUUGCUUUAGAGCUAAGGGUUUUCAGGUUCAAAUCUUGUUGAAGAUUGUUUUUGAAUUUCAGGAUUUUAGAGUGCCUUGGGUCAGUGCAAUUCUAAUGGGUAUCUGACAUUAGUUGGGGAAAGUAAAGAAGGUUGGUCGUUGUGCUGGCCAUAUGAUACCUUUAUAACAGUAGGCCACAGAAACAGAUGACAUUUACAUCAUCUGCCAUAUAGAUUGCAAAUUCUAAAAGGCAUUCUUUUUACAUUUUAAUCCCUAACUAUUCUAAAAAUUCUAACCAUUUUUUCAUUCAAAGACAUUUUUUCUUUUCUGAGCAACUAAAUUGAUGAUCAUGUUAAAUCAACAUUUGAUUUUUAAAAAAUAAUUUCUGAUUUACUUUGAUGCAAGAAAAAGCUAAUAUUAUAAGCAUUACUCACCAUAGUCAAAUUAUGCACUUUUAUAAAGUAUGCUAAGUAGGCUUAGCAAAGCAUAAAAAAAAAGAAUAUUUGCUAUUGACCUUUUCGAAAAUUAAAACAAAAAAAAAAUUUUGUGCCAAGAUCAUUAUACUACAGCUUUUUAUUGUAUUGCAUGCCACCUAAAAAAAGUUUGACAUUCUGCAUGAUAUCAACUGAGGUCAAUGAAAUAUGGAAAAGGAGCUACAAACUAAGUACAUUAAUGAAACCAAAAAAAAAAAAGAAUUAGAAGAUAACUACCAUGUCAGACAAAAACUGUCUAAUUUUAAGAAAGGCCUAACUUCUAGCUAUGACCAAUUGUGACAAAGAAUACAUUUUAAUACUUAAUUAUCAGAAAGAAUGUCAAAUUAGGUAGGAGGUGUGGUGGCCGAGUGGUAAAGUUGUUAGCUUCUGAACCAGGGGUUUCAGGUUUGAAUUCUGGUGAAGACUGGGAUUUUUACUUUCUGUAAUGUCUUAGUGUCAAUGAUUAGAUUGACCAUGGUAAUGACUUAUGUCAAUGAAAACAUUGAAAAAGGUAAUGAGUUAGUGUCAAUGAUUACAUUGAGAAUGGUAAUGACUUAGUGUUAUUGAUUGGAUUGAGAAUGGUAAUGACUUAAUUUCAAUAAAAACAACAAAAAUG
This is a long non-coding RNA of Biomphalaria glabrata, 2160 nucleotides long. RefSeq lists it as uncharacterized. The record is from RefSeq and is a predicted model, not a curated record. The transcript has 2 exons. Lineage: Eukaryota; Metazoa; Mollusca; Gastropoda; Planorbidae.